Molecule: ribosomal RNA, 119 nt
Filed under: Lepisosteus oculatus (spotted gar)
Lineage: Eukaryota; Metazoa; Chordata; Actinopteri; Semionotiformes; Lepisosteidae
Source: RNAcentral
GCCAGUAGCCAUUUUACCCUGCAAUUCAUAACUGGCAACCCACUGAAGCUAAGCAGGUGUGAGCCUGGUCAGUACCUGGAUGGGAGACCUCCAGGGAAAAACUAAGGUUGCUGCUGAAA